Molecule: long non-coding RNA, 2787 nt
Organism: Vicia villosa (hairy vetch)
Lineage: Eukaryota; Viridiplantae; Streptophyta; Magnoliopsida; Fabales; Fabaceae
Exons: 4
Source: RefSeq, a predicted model, not a curated record
AACAAACAGAUGCAUGAACAUUCACUUUAUGUGCCCCCAAAGGAAAAAGAUUCUCUAAAUUCACUACUUAUGCUCUGAAAAGAUGUUUUGGUGUAUGAAUUCAUUGUAAAAUCUUUUUCAUUCGAUUUUACUUUCACUUCUUCCUUUAUGAUUAUGACUAUAGGCUAGGAUACAUCUGAGACAUGCAAGGCUAGAGGAAACAGAAUCAGAUUCUCCCUAGAAUGUUUCCUUUACAAUAUGUUUUCAAUUCAUGUAAACAAAGAUAGAUUCCAUUAUUAAUUCAAUGUACCAUUCGUGUUAGGGCUGGACAAGAACCCGUAAACCGGUCCAAACCGCAAAAACCGCAAAAAAAUAACCGCACUGAAUGGUUUCAAACGGGUCACCGGAUGAACGGGCCCAACAGUGCGGCCCCAGGCGGAUUGUAACAGGCGGGUUCGGUUUAUGGAAAACCACCGUCGGUGUCCGCAUCCGCCCGCACCAAAACUAAAAUUAUACGAUUAUUCAUAAUACACGGUCAUUUUAGCAGCACUACUAGGGUAUUCAGGGUAUUUAUUCUUUAUUCUCUCAAAUAAAGUUCCUUAACCAAAAAACCCUAGAACACUUCGUUAACGCCGCCGGUGAAGGAAACUAUGUGUCUGUGUUCAUCUUCUUGAUUCUUGGUCGUCCCUUCUUCUUCUUCUUCUACUUGCUUGGAAGGACCUUCUUCUUGUUUGCAAAGACAGAGCAAAGGUUAGAUUUCUUGUUCAUGUUCUUUGGUUUAUCUUUGUAUGCUCCCCACCUUUUGAUUUAUCUCUGUAUGUUCUUAUUUUUCACCUUUUGCUCUUUGGGUAUACUUUUUAUUUAGUAAAUUAGAUUCUUUUGUGAUAAAUAAAUACCAUGGAUGUAUAGCUUAAAGACAUGUGAGAGAAAACCAUAAGGUUGUAGCUUGACCUGCUAUUAUUAUAGCAAUUGAAUUUGUGUUGUAUUAUGCUCACAAUACUUAUAAUCAAUUAUUAUUUGAAAUGCUUGCAAAUAAAGAAAUGUAAGAAAGAGUGAGGACAACAACUGGAUCAUUAUCUGAUCUAUUUUUAUCAGCAGUAGUUACUAACUUGUAUAGAUCUGGAACUUCUCUUUCCAGGAAAAAAUCACUGCUGAGAUUUCUCCUAGAGGAAGAAUUGGAUCUAAGAAGCAUCCCUUACCAUUUUAAUGAGCAGAAUUAAUUAUUUGAGAUCAACUAUAAAUGAAAAUUUUUGGUUUAAUUUGGUGUUAGGAUACUAUAUGCAUGUCUUUCUACAGAGGGUACCCCAUGUCAAAACUGCUUGAAAAUUAUGUUGGAUUAAAUAUAGUACAUGUAAAUUAAAUAUACUACUAGCUUUCUAAUUAAUUCAAUUUUGUUUUUAUAGUAUUUUCUUUGUUUUAUUUAUUUACUAGAACUUGUAAUUAUGUACAGAUUGAAAAUAAUUAUGAACCUAUGGAGUAUCAAAUUGGUGCUCCUGGUAAAUCCUACACAAAAUGAGCAGCAUAUAUGGCUAUAGAAAUCAGUACCGGUUACCAUGGAUAAUUUUAGUAGUCCUUUCAUUUCUACAAUCUAUGACCUGAUGAAUAUGGAUUGCUGAGGCAUCUGAAGGAUUUAUAUAGAGCAAUAAUAUCUCUGAACCUUGAACCUGCUUACUCUUUAUAAUGUUAAAUUUAUAAGAUUAUCAUUAUUCUAUUAUAGAUUUUGUAUUCUUUUAUACUUUGAUUUGUAUAUUGGUUCUUUUCAUCUCAGUUAUUUUAAUUUUUUAAAAAAUGCUCAAAAUAUGUUAUUGUGCUCAAAAAUAAAAUCAGCAUAAUAACCCGACUGAACCGUUUAAAUUAACCCGUGAUCCGCUCUAACCCAACCCGUCUAAACCGUUCAAAAUAAUGGGCGGAAAUGGGUCUAUAUAUCUCAACCGCGGUUUGAAUUGGGUGAGGGUUUUGGGCCCGAAACCGCCCAACCCGGCCCGUUGUCCAGCCCUAAUUCGUGUGAUUGAUAAUCAUUCUCAUUUUUUGAGGCUGGGGCUUAAAUCAUUCAUUUGUAAUUGUAUGAUUAAUCAUUCAAUUAAGGUAAACAAAGAAGCAACCCGAUUUCUAUACAAACAUGUUAAUUCAAUAUAAAGAAGUUGAAAAUUUCUUUACCCACCUCUCUAUGGGGUCACCCCCAGCGAAAAACCAAAACUGCCCCUGCUUCGGAGAUGCAUCUCCGAAGUUUUUUUUUUUUUUGAAUUUUCAUACGUUUCGGAAAUGAAUCUCCGAAAACACCAAAAAAGUGGUGUUUUCGGAGAUGCAUCUCCGAAGUUAAAAAAAUUUAAAAACGUGAAUAUUUUCGGAAGUUCAUUUCCGAAAAUAUUCCUGCAUAUACAAAUUUCCCUCCUUCACUAUUUCAUCAUUUUUCUCCAAAACAUCUCAAAACCCUCUCCAAAACCCAAUCAAUCUCCCUCCAUUUUUCGUCCUAAAAUCAAGUUUCAAACCGUUGAUCACGUUAAAGGGAGCAUAGAAAGCUACAAUUUCAGGUAUGGUGCAUCCGGACAACAUUGUGCGAGACGAUGGAGUAUUAGUUCCGGAAAUUGUCAACGUUAAUAACGAUCCGGUUAUUGACGUUACUCCUAUGAUCAAUGCGGUCGAUGUUCGGCAACAUUUUACAAAUGAUCGGAGCUUCGGUAGUCGCGAACAAUUGAUUGAUUGGGUUCGGAAGGAAGCUAACAAACAUGGAUUUGGAAUUGUUAUUUUAAGGUCGGACAACGGAAAUAGUAGGCGGAAAGCUUUCGUUGUUUUGAAUUGCGAACGGGG